GACGAACCGUGCGAACGUUGUUCGGAAUCACUGGGCUUAAAGGGCGCGUAGGCGGUCUGCCAAGUCCGGGGUGAAAGCCCCCAGCUCAACUGGGGAAGUGCCUUGGAUACUGGCGGACUUGGGGGAGGCAGGGGUUGUGGGAACUUCCGGUGGAGCGGUGAAAUGCGUUGAUAUCGGAAGGAACGCCGGUGGCGAAAGCGCACAACUGGUCCUCUUCUGACGCUGAGGCGCGAAAGCUAGGGGAGCAAACAGG
RNAcentral lists this ribosomal RNA (253 nucleotides) under uncultured bacterium. RNAcentral's name for it is "partial 16S ribosomal RNA". It matches the Rfam family "Bacterial small subunit ribosomal RNA", at positions 524 to 776 of the family's 1533-position model. The record is from RNAcentral.